This 515-nucleotide ribosomal RNA is filed under the name Limosilactobacillus fermentum. Its description in RNAcentral is "bacterial SSU rRNA". It matches the Rfam family "Bacterial small subunit ribosomal RNA", at positions 28 to 497 of the family's 1533-position model. Lineage: Bacteria; Bacillati; Bacillota; Bacilli; Lactobacillales; Lactobacillaceae. The record is from RNAcentral.
GAUGAACGCCGGCGGUGUGCCUAAUACAUGCAAGUCGAACGCGUUGGCCCAAUUGAUUGAUGGUGCUUGCACCUGAUUGAUUUUGGUCGCCAACGAGUGGCGGACGGGUGAGUAACACGUAGGUAACCUGCCCAGAAGCGGGGGUACAACAUUUGGAAACAUGAUGCUAAUACCGCAUAACAGCGUUGUUCGCAUGACACAACGCUUAAAAGAUGGCUUCUCGCUAUCACUUCUGGAUGGACCUGCGGUGCAUUAGCUUGUUGGUGGGGUAACGGCCUACCAAGGCGAUGAUGCAUAGCCGAGUUGAGAGACUGAUCGGCCACAAUGGGACUGAGACACGGCCCAUACUCCUACGGGAGGCAGCAGUAGGGAAUCUUCCACAAUGGGCGCAAGCCUGAUGGAGCAACACCGCGUGAGUGAAGAAGGGUUUCGGCUCGUAAAGCUCUGUUGUUAAAGAAGAACACGUAUGAGAGUAACUGUUCAUACGUUGACGGUAUUUAACCAGAAAGUCCGGC